Molecule: long non-coding RNA, 510 nt
Filed under: Pan troglodytes (chimpanzee)
Lineage: Eukaryota; Metazoa; Chordata; Mammalia; Primates; Hominidae
Description: long non-coding RNA NONPTRT014462
Source: RNAcentral
GGAGGACCCGCCUUAACUGGGCUGAACUUUGCUAAAUCUAGAAACUCUCAGCUUGGUUCAUGUAACUUACCUAGUUUUAUUACUUCAUUUGGUUUCUGAAGGUCAGAACUUUCCUAAAUUGGCUAGGUACCAGUUGAUUGGGGAAAUACUAAGAGAAAUGAAAUCUAUGAUCUGAUGAGGUGGGAUUCAGUGUGAAGAAAGGGGUAUACAGGAGAAGUAAUAUGACAUGAAGUACCUUUCAUUCUCAGCAAAGUCUGCAUAUGACUAUUGACAUGAGUCAUUAAGAGGUACAGUCUUGAAUGAUUUUCCUAAAGUUUGAAUGAUUUUCCUGUUGAGUUUCGUGAAUGAUUUUCCUGUUCAGUUGGCAAUUACUCAUUUGAAAACGCUUGGGCCUCAUUUGCUCAUAAAUCAUUUCCAAAGAGAAUUUCAGAAAUGGAAGGGUCCUUAGAGAUUGUCUAGUCCAACAGUCUAUUUCAUAAACAAGAAAACUGAAAUACAGAGAUUGAGAGA